RNAcentral lists this long non-coding RNA (731 nucleotides) under Homo sapiens (human). Its description in RNAcentral is "HSALNT0275751". Lineage: Eukaryota; Metazoa; Chordata; Mammalia; Primates; Hominidae. The record is from RNAcentral.
GAAAACUAGAAGCUGAGGCAUGAGUUUGGUCACUCCGUAGUGUGCACUUGGUGAGGGCAGCAGCUGGCCACAGCUGCCAGCCGUCUGUCCAUUCGCCCAUCUGUCCAUCUGGCAGCCCGCUGUUCAGACCUGUCUGUCUGUCCGCCCAUCUGUAAGCCCAUCUCUGUCCCAUUGUCUAUCUGACCAUCUUUCUCUUACUGUCCUCUUUGUCUAGCUAUCUGGCCUGUCUGUCGAUCCAUCUUCGUGUCUGUCUUCAGCCCCCACCUGUUUGUCCAUCUGUCCAAUUACCUGUGAGUCUAUCUAUGCAUCUUCUUGUCCAUUCAUCUGCCCACCCAUCUGUCCCUCCGUCUGCCCACCGGCCUCCCCUCUCCUUCUGGGCCGCAGAGCCACGGCCCAGGACUGCAGAGCCAUGGUUGGCCUGGUCCUGCUGGGGCUGGGGCUGGCGCUGGCUGUCAUUGUGCUGGCUGUGGUCCUCUCUCGACACCAGGCCCCAUUUGACCCCCGGCCUUUGCCCACGCCGCUGUUGCUGCUGACUCCAAGGUCUGCUCGGAUAUUGGACAGUGAGUGAGAUGUGGGAGGAAGCUGGGUGGCCCUUGGCAGCCAGCCCCUCCUGGAGAAGGCGUGUGUGUGUAAGCGUGUGUGUGUGUGAGAGAUUAUGUGUGUGUGUGUGGGUAUGUGAGUGUGAGUGUGGGGUGUGGGUGUGUGUAAAUGUGUGUGAUCGUGUUUGGGUG